RNAcentral lists this ribosomal RNA (408 nucleotides) under Acidobacteriota bacterium. RNAcentral describes it as "Acidobacteria bacterium partial 16S ribosomal RNA". It matches the Rfam family "Bacterial small subunit ribosomal RNA", at positions 355 to 775 of the family's 1533-position model. The record is from RNAcentral. Lineage: Bacteria; Pseudomonadati; Acidobacteriota.
UGGGGAAUAUUGCACAAUGGGCGAAAGCCUGAUGCAGCGACGCCGCGUGAGGGAUGACGGCCUUCGGGUUGUAAACCUCUUUCAGUAGGGACGAAGCGCAAGUGACGGUACCUACAGAAGAAGCACCGGCCAACUACGUGCCAGCAGCCGCGGUAAUACGUAGGGUGCGAGCGUUGUCCGGAUUUACUGGGCGUAAAGAGCUCGUAGGCGGUUUGUCACGUCGUCUGUGAAAACCCGAGGCUUAACCUCGGGCCUGCAGGCGAUACGGGCAGACUUGAGUACUGUAGGGGAGACUGGAAUUCCUUGUGUAGCGGUGGAAUGCGCAGAUAUCAGGAGGAACACCGGUGGCGAAGGCGGGUCUCUGGGCAGUAACUGACGCUGAGGAGCGAAAGCGUGGGUAGCGAACAG